This 407-nucleotide ribosomal RNA is filed under the name uncultured Actinomycetales bacterium. RNAcentral's name for it is "partial 16S ribosomal RNA". It matches the Rfam family "Bacterial small subunit ribosomal RNA", at positions 355 to 774 of the family's 1533-position model. Lineage: Bacteria; Bacillati; Actinomycetota; Actinomycetes; Actinomycetales. The record is from RNAcentral.
UGGGGAAUAUUGCGCAAUGGGCGAAAGCCUGACGCAGCAACGCCGCGUGAGGGAUGAAGGCCUUCGGGUUGUAAACCUCUUUCAGCAGGGAUGAAGCGAAAGUGACAGUACCUGCAGAAGAAGCGCCGGCUAACUACGUGCCAGCAGCCGCGGUAAUACGUAGGGCGCAAGCGUUGUCCGGAUUUAUUGGGCGUAAAGAGCUCGUAGGCGGUCUGUCACGUCGGAUGUGAAAACCCGGAGCUCAACUCCGGGCCUGCAUUCGAUACGGGCAGACUUGAGUACUGCAGGGGAGACUGGAAUUCCUGGUGUAGCGGUGGAAUGCGCAGAUAUCAGGAGGAACACCGGUGGCGAGGGCGGGUCUCUGGGCAGAAACUGACGCUGAGGAGCGAAAGCGUGGGGAGCGAACA